RNAcentral lists this ribosomal RNA (345 nucleotides) under uncultured bacterium. RNAcentral's name for it is "bacterial SSU rRNA". It matches the Rfam family "Bacterial small subunit ribosomal RNA", at positions 30 to 369 of the family's 1533-position model. The record is from RNAcentral.
AUUGAACGCUAGCGGCAUGCUUAACACAUGCAAGUCGAACGGCAGCAGACAGUAGCUUGCUACUGUGCUGGCGAGUGGCGAACGGGUGAGUAACGCGUAGGGAUCUGCCCUAAAGUGGGGGAUAACCCGAGGAAACUCGGGCUAAUACCGCAUAAUCUCUAAGGAGUAAAGAAGGCCUCUGUUUCAUGCUUUCGCUUUAGGAUGAACCUGCGUCCGAUUAGCUUGUUGGUGGGGUAAAGGCCUACCAAGGCGACGAUCGUAGCUGUUCUGAGAGGAAGAUCAGCCACACUGGGACUGAGACACGGCCCAGACUCCUACGGGAGGCAGCAGUGGGGAAUAUUGGAC